UGACUGUACUAAGGUAGCAUAAUCAUUAGCUUUUUAAUUGGUGGCUGGAAUGAAGGGUUAUUACUAGGAAGGUAGUUUUAUUUAUAUAUUUUGAAUUUAAAUUAGAAAUAAAAAUGUUUUUAUUAAUCUUUGGGACGAUAAGACCCUAGAAGUUUUAGAGUAAAUUUAUUCUUUAGUUGGGGUGACUGAUGAAGAUUAGGAUCUUUGUUUAUAAUUUUAAAGUGAAUAUAAUUACUCUAGGGUUAACAGCAUUAUUUAAUUUUUGAGU
Molecule: ribosomal RNA, 268 nt
Filed under: Kilungius insulanus
Lineage: Eukaryota; Metazoa; Arthropoda; Arachnida; Opiliones; Epedanidae
Description: partial 16S ribosomal RNA
Source: RNAcentral